RNAcentral lists this ribosomal RNA (2877 nucleotides) under Escherichia coli 3-373-03_S3_C3. RNAcentral describes it as "bacterial LSU rRNA". It matches the Rfam family "Bacterial large subunit ribosomal RNA". Lineage: Bacteria; Pseudomonadati; Pseudomonadota; Gammaproteobacteria; Enterobacterales; Enterobacteriaceae. The record is from RNAcentral.
AUGCCCUGGCAGUCAGAGGCGAUGAAGGACGUGCUAAUCUGCGAUAAGCGUCGGUAAGGUGAUAUGAACCGUUAUAACCGGCGAUUUCCGAAUGGGGAAACCCAGUGUGUUUCGACACACUAUCAUUAACUGAAUCCAUAGGUUAAUGAGGCGAACCGGGGGAACUGAAACAUCUAAGUACCCCGAGGAAAAGAAAUCAACCGAGAUUCCCCCAGUAGCGGCGAGCGAACGGGGAGCAGCCCAGAGCCUGAAUCAGUGUGUGUGUUAGUGGAAGCGUCUGGAAAGGCGCGCGAUACAGGGUGACAGCCCCGUACACAAAAAUGCACAUGCUGUGAGCUCGAUGAGUAGGGCGGGACACGUGGUAUCCUGUCUGAAUAUGGGGGGACCAUCCUCCAAGGCUAAAUACUCCUGACUGACCGAUAGUGAACCAGUACCGUGAGGGAAAGGCGAAAAGAACCCCGGCGAGGGGAGUGAAAAAGAACCUGAAACCGUGUACGUACAAGCAGUGGGAGCACGCUUAGGCGUGUGACUGCGUACCUUUUGUAUAAUGGGUCAGCGACUUAUAUUCUGUAGCAAGGUUAACCGAAUAGGGGAGCCGAAGGGAAACCGAGUCUUAACUGGGCGUUAAGUUGCAGGGUAUAGACCCGAAACCCGGUGAUCUAGCCAUGGGCAGGUUGAAGGUUGGGUAACACUAACUGGAGGACCGAACCGACUAAUGUUGAAAAAUUAGCGGAUGACUUGUGGCUGGGGGUGAAAGGCCAAUCAAACCGGGAGAUAGCUGGUUCUCCCCGAAAGCUAUUUAGGUAGCGCCUCGUGAAUUCAUCUCCGGGGGUAGAGCACUGUUUCGGCAAGGGGGUCAUCCCGACUUACCAACCCGAUGCAAACUGCGAAUACCGGAGAAUGUUAUCACGGGAGACACACGGCGGGUGCUAACGUCCGUCGUGAAGAGGGAAACAACCCAGACCGCCAGCUAAGGUCCCAAAGUCAUGGUUAAGUGGGAAACGAUGUGGGAAGGCCCAGACAGCCAGGAUGUUGGCUUAGAAGCAGCCAUCAUUUAAAGAAAGCGUAAUAGCUCACUGGUCGAGUCGGCCUGCGCGGAAGAUGUAACGGGGCUAAACCAUGCACCGAAGCUGCGGCAGCGACGCUGAUGCGUUGUUGGGUAGGGGAGCGUUCUGUAAGCCUGCGAAGGUGUGCUGUGAGGCAUGCUGGAGGUAUCAGAAGUGCGAAUGCUGACAUAAGUAACGAUAAAGCGGGUGAAAAGCCCGCUCGCCGGAAGACCAAGGGUUCCUGUCCAACGUUAAUCGGGGCAGGGUGAGUCGACCCCUAAGGCGAGGCCGAAAGGCGUAGUCGAUGGGAAACAGGUUAAUAUUCCUGUACUUGGUGUUACUGCGAAGGGGGGACGGAGAAGGCUAUGUUGGCCGGGCGACGGUUGUCCCGGUUUAAGCGUGUAGGCUGGUUUUCCAGGCAAAUCCGGAAAAUCAAGGCUGAGGCGUGAUGACGAGGCACUACGGUGCUGAAGCAACAAAUGCCCUGCUUCCAGGAAAAGCCUCUAAGCAUCAGGUAACAUCAAAUCGUACCCCAAACCGACACAGGUGGUCAGGUAGAGAAUACCAAGGCGCUUGAGAGAACUCGGGUGAAGGAACUAGGCAAAAUGGUGCCGUAACUUCGGGAGAAGGCACGCUGAUAUGUAGGUGAAGUCCCUUGCGGAUGGAGCUGAAAUCAGUCGAAGAUACCAGCUGGCUGCAACUGUUUAUUAAAAACACAGCACUGUGCAAACACGAAAGUGGACGUAUACGGUGUGACGCCUGCCCGGUGCCGGAAGGUUAAUUGAUGGGGUCAGCGCAAGCGAAGCUCUUGAUCGAAGCCCCGGUAAACGGCGGCCGUAACUAUAACGGUCCUAAGGUAGCGAAAUUCCUUGUCGGGUAAGUUCCGACCUGCACGAAUGGCGUAAUGAUGGCCAGGCUGUCUCCACCCGAGACUCAGUGAAAUUGAACUCGCUGUGAAGAUGCAGUGUACCCGCGGCAAGACGGAAAGACCCCGUGAACCUUUACUAUAGCUUGACACUGAACAUUGAGCCUUGAUGUGUAGGAUAGGUGGGAGGCUUUGAAGUGUGGACGCCAGUCUGCAUGGAGCCGACCUUGAAAUACCACCCUUUAAUGUUUGAUGUUCUAACGUUGACCCGUAAUCCGGGUUGCGGACAGUGUCUGGUGGGUAGUUUGACUGGGGCGGUCUCCUCCUAAAGAGUAACGGAGGAGCACGAAGGUUGGCUAAUCCUGGUCGGACAUCAGGAGGUUAGUGCAAUGGCAUAAGCCAGCUUGACUGCGAGCGUGACGGCGCGAGCAGGUGCGAAAGCAGGUCAUAGUGAUCCGGUGGUUCUGAAUGGAAGGGCCAUCGCUCAACGGAUAAAAGGUACUCCGGGGAUAACAGGCUGAUACCGCCCAAGAGUUCAUAUCGACGGCGGUGUUUGGCACCUCGAUGUCGGCUCAUCACAUCCUGGGGCUGAAGUAGGUCCCAAGGGUAUGGCUGUUCGCCAUUUAAAGUGGUACGCGAGCUGGGUUUAGAACGUCGUGAGACAGUUCGGUCCCUAUCUGCCGUGGGCGCUGGAGAACUGAGGGGGGCUGCUCCUAGUACGAGAGGACCGGAGUGGACGCAUCACUGGUGUUCGGGUUGUCAUGCCAAUGGCACUGCCCGGUAGCUAAAUGCGGAAGAGAUAAGUGCUGAAAGCAUCUAAGCACGAAACUUGCCCCGAGAUGAGUUCUCCCUGACUCCUUGAGAGUCCUGAAGGAACGUUGAAGACGACGACGUUGAUAGGCCGGGUGUGUAAGCGCAGCGAUGCGUUGAGCUAACCGGUACUAAUGAACCGUGAGGCUUAACCUU